RNAcentral lists this unclassified non-coding RNA (24 nucleotides) under Mus musculus (house mouse). RNAcentral describes it as "oocyte_clustered_small_RNA5559". The record is from RNAcentral. Lineage: Eukaryota; Metazoa; Chordata; Mammalia; Rodentia; Muridae.
GCAAAUAUGGGCUGGCUGGAGGGA